RNAcentral lists this ribosomal RNA (223 nucleotides) under Escherichia coli. RNAcentral's name for it is "partial 16S ribosomal RNA". It matches the Rfam family "Bacterial small subunit ribosomal RNA", at positions 1 to 220 of the family's 1533-position model. Lineage: Bacteria; Pseudomonadati; Pseudomonadota; Gammaproteobacteria; Enterobacterales; Enterobacteriaceae. The record is from RNAcentral.
AAAUUGAAGAGUUUGAUCAUGGCUCAGAUUGAACGCUGGCGGCAGGCCUAACACAUGCAAGUCGAACGGUAACAGGAAUCAGCUUGCUGAUUCGCUGACGAGUGGCGGACGGGUGAGUAAUGUCUGGGAAACUGCCUGAUGGAGGGGGAUAACUACUGGAAACGGUAGCUAAUACCGCAUAACGUCGCAAGACCAAAGAGGGGGACCUUCGGGCCUCUUGCCA